UACGUAGGGGGCGAGCGUUGUCCGGAAUUACUGGGCGUAAAGCGUGCGCAGGCGGUGAUGUAAGACAGAUGUGAAAUCCCCGGGCUCAACCUGGGAACUGCAUUUGUGACUGCAUCGCUGGAGUACGGCAGAGGGGGAUGGAAUUCCGCGUGUAGCAGUGAAAUGCGUAGAUAUGCGGAGGAACACCGAUGGCGAAGGCAAUCCCCUGGGCCUGUACUGACGCUCAUGCACGAAAGCGUGGGGAGCAAACAGG
Molecule: ribosomal RNA, 253 nt
Filed under: uncultured bacterium
Lineage: Bacteria
Description: partial 16S ribosomal RNA
Rfam family: Bacterial small subunit ribosomal RNA
Source: RNAcentral